Molecule: transfer RNA, 68 nt
Filed under: Benthodytes marianensis
Lineage: Eukaryota; Metazoa; Echinodermata; Holothuroidea; Elasipodida; Psychropotidae
Description: tRNA-Ala
Rfam family: tRNA
About the family: Transfer RNA (tRNA) molecules are approximately 80 nucleotides in length. Their secondary structure includes four short double-helical elements and three loops (D, anti-codon, and T loops).
Source: RNAcentral
GUGAGUUUAGUUUAAAAAAACAUAUAUUUUGCAAGUAUAAGAUUAAAGUUUAAUUCUUUAAUCUCACA